This 914-nucleotide long non-coding RNA is filed under the name Malus domestica (apple). RNAcentral's name for it is "long non-coding RNA (MDOM_LNC000010)". The record is from RNAcentral. Lineage: Eukaryota; Viridiplantae; Streptophyta; Magnoliopsida; Rosales; Rosaceae.
CUAUUGUAGUCAAAGGAGAAGUCAAAUGAAGAAGGCGAAAUAACUCCAAGGGAACAAACUUUCUUUACGAAAGGAUGGACAUUGGAAGGGGUAUUUGCAAGAAAUGUCUUGCAAAUGUCAAGAACACACCUUUCGAAGGUGUUGUAAAUUGUUCUUGAAUAGUUCAAAACAGUUGGUUCUUCCACUUGAAUGCUUGAUUCCGUAUUAGUAACUAUGUUUUACAAUCGUUGUAAAAGUGUGGCUAAUAAGAAGUAGAAGAUUAAUGAGAGAAGAGAAAGUACUUCACAUUCGGAACGUGAAUCAAAUGUAGAUCUCUGCGAAAGCAAGUAGUACUUACUUCCUCAUAUGAACUACCAAAGAAAAUGGAAAAACAAAGAUUGUCCUUACAUUCCAAUUUGAAUAAAGGAACUUAAUUCCGUAUGAGAAAUGGAUGAAUGUUUUGUUUGACAAAACAUUGUUCUUUAUUAAUGAAUGAUUAGAUUAUUGUAAUCUAAUUGAUUAUCUCUAUAGUAGAGAUGAUAUGGUAGUGUCAACUGUUUAGAAUAUAACGAUGCUUAAAACCCAAAAGAUUGUAAGGUAGUGACUAAUCCCAACUGAGAUGUGAUACCUCUAAAACAGAAAUUAUGAGUUCGUCAUAGAUGGAUGCCUUGGAUCAUUAGAUCCGGAUCCAAUGCCUUCUUGUUAAAAUUGUAUAGAGGCAAAAUGUUUGAAUCUUUAUUCUUUUGGAAAGGAAGAAAGAAUCACAAAGUUGUUGAGGUUAAUUCACUUAGAUGUUAGUGGCACUUGUCCACAACAUAAUACUACUCAUGUUGUAUGACAUUCACCGAAGAUCGCUCUCGAUUGUCUAUCGUUUAUUUUGAAUAAACACAAGUCCGAAUAUUUUGCAAAAGGUUUCAAAGAAUUCAAGAAUGUAA